ACCUGCGGAAGGAUCAUUGUCGAACCCUGCACAGCAGAACGACCCGUGAACACGUAACUACAAUCGGGCAUCGGGGGUACGGCUCACGCUUGCGACCCUUGGUGCCCUGCCGAUGUGCGUGCAUGGUGCCCCAAAUGGGGCGUUAUGGACGUAUUGUCGGCACCAAAACCAACCCCGGCACGGCAUGUGCCAAGGAAAACAAAACUUAAGAAGGGCUCGUUUCGUGUUGCCCCGUUCGCGGUGCGCGCACGGUCGUGUCUCUUUUGUAAUCACAAACGACUCUCGGCAACGGAUAUCUCGGCUCACGCAUCGAUGAAGAACGUAGCAAAAUGCGAUACUUGGUGUGAAUUGCAGAAUCCCGUGAACCAUCGAGUUUUUGAACGCAAGUUGCGCCCGAAGCCAUUCGGCCGAGGGCACGUCUGCCUGGGCGUCACGCAUCGCGUCGCCCCCUCCUCCCCUUCCCAUUGGGAAAUGGUGUGUUGGGGGCGGAAAUUGGUUUCCCGUGCUUGCGGCGCGGUUAUCCGAAAUAGGAGUCCCCUUCGGUGGACGCACGGCUAGUGGUGGUUGAUAAUAAGACCCUCGUCUGGUGUCGUGCGUUGUGAGCCGCAAGGGAAGCCUCUUCAUAGACCCCAACGCGUCGUCUCAAGACGAYGCUUCGACCGCGACCCCAGGU
Molecule: ribosomal RNA, 673 nt
Filed under: Berkheya spinosa
Lineage: Eukaryota; Viridiplantae; Streptophyta; Magnoliopsida; Asterales; Asteraceae
Description: eukaryotic LSU rRNA
Rfam family: 5.8S ribosomal RNA (bases 278-433)
Source: RNAcentral